This is a non-coding RNA of Trichobilharzia regenti, 46 nucleotides long. The record is from Rfam. Lineage: Eukaryota; Metazoa; Platyhelminthes; Trematoda; Strigeidida; Schistosomatidae.
GUACUGCUGAAGAGUCCCAAACUAGGACGAAACACCUGUCCAGUAC